This 515-nucleotide ribosomal RNA is filed under the name uncultured bacterium. Its description in RNAcentral is "partial 16S ribosomal RNA". It matches the Rfam family "Bacterial small subunit ribosomal RNA", at positions 28 to 523 of the family's 1533-position model. The record is from RNAcentral.
GAUGAACGCUGGCGGCGUGCCUAAUACAUGCAAGUCGAGCGAAUGGAUUAAGAGCUUGCUCUUAUGAAGUUAGCGGCGGACGGGUGAGUAACACGUGGGUAACCUGCCCAUAAGACUGGGAUAACUCCGGGAAACCGGGGCUAAUACCGGAUAACAUUUUGAACCGCAUGGUUCGAAAUUGAAAGGCGGCUUCGGCUGUCACUUAUGGAUGGACCCGCGUCGCAUUAGCUAGUUGGUGAGGUAACGGCUCACCAAGGCAACGAUGCGUAGCCGACCUGAGAGGGGGGUCGGCGACACUGGGACUAAAGCACGGCCCCGACUGCUACGGGAGGAAGCAGUAGGGAAUUUUCCGCAAUGGACGAAAGUCUGACGGAGCAACUCCGCGUGAGUGAUGAAGGCUUUCGGGUCGUAAAACUCUGUUGUUAGGGAAGAACAAGUGCUAGUUGAAUAAGCUGGCACCUUGACGGUACCUAACCAGAAAGCCACGGCUAACUACGUGCCAGCAGCCGCGGUAA